CUGCGGCGCAGGCUUCAACCGGCGCCGUGGUUUUAACCUGAGCAGUAGCUCGCAAAGCUGCCGCUCUUAUUUUGAAGAAAUGAGACCAGCAGGGGCAUCCGGGCUGGUACCCGGACUAUCUGCGUGAUUCCCUGGUGACUUGAUACGGUCGCUGCACACGACUAUUUCAGGAUUGCUCUGGUGUCUUCGCCGGUGGUGUCCCCUUACCGAGGGUGACCA
This is a non-coding RNA of Pseudomonas floridensis, 219 nucleotides long. The record is from Rfam. NCBI's taxonomy places the organism in Bacteria, Pseudomonadati, Pseudomonadota, Gammaproteobacteria, Pseudomonadales, Pseudomonadaceae.